UCUCUUACCCAUGUCUUUUGAGUACCUUCGUUUCCUCGGCGGGUUCGCCCGCCGAUUGGACAAUUUAAACCAUUUGCAGUUGCAAUCAGCGUCUGAAAAAACAUAAUAGUUACAACUUUCAACAACGGAUCUCUUGGUUCUGGCAUCGAUGAAGAACGCAGCGAAAUGCGAUAAGUAGUGUGAAUUGCAGAAUUCAGUGAAUCAUCGAAUCUUUGAACGCACAUUGCGCCCCUUGGUAUUCCAUGGGGCAUGCCUGUUCGAGCGUCAUUUGUACCUUCAAGCUCUGCUUGGUGUUGGGUGUUUGUCUCGCCUCUGCGCGUAGACUCGCCUCAAAACAAUUGGCAGCCGGCGUAUUGAUUUCGGAGCGCAGUACAUCUCGCGCUUUGCAUUCAGAACGACGACGUCCAA
This 408-nucleotide ribosomal RNA is filed under the name uncultured Peyronellaea. RNAcentral's name for it is "eukaryotic LSU rRNA". The stretch from base 114 to 267 matches the Rfam family "5.8S ribosomal RNA". Lineage: Eukaryota; Fungi; Ascomycota; Dothideomycetes; Pleosporales; Didymellaceae. The record is from RNAcentral.